RNAcentral lists this ribosomal RNA (320 nucleotides) under uncultured Chloroflexota bacterium. Its description in RNAcentral is "bacterial SSU rRNA". It matches the Rfam family "Bacterial small subunit ribosomal RNA", at positions 1045 to 1382 of the family's 1533-position model. The record is from RNAcentral. Lineage: Bacteria; Bacillati; Chloroflexota.
AUGGCUGUCGUCAGCUCGUGCCGUGAGGUGUUAGGUUAAGUCCUGCAACGAGCGCAACCCUCGUCGCUAGUUAAAUUUUCUAGCGAUACUGCCCGUAAAACGAGGAGGAAGGUGGGAUGACGUCAAGUCAGCAUGGCCCUUACGCCUUGGGCUACACACACGCUACAAUGGGUGAUACAACAGGUUGCGAAAGAGCGAUCUGGAGCUAAUCCCUAAAAAUCAUCCUCAGUUCGGAUUGCAGGCUGCAACUCGCCUGCAUGAAGCCGGAAUCGCUAGUAAUCGCGGAUCAGAAUGCCGCGGUGAAUACGUUCCCGGGCCUU